GGCAGCAGGCAAGAGAGCUUGUGCAGGGGAACUCCCCUUUAAAAACCAUCAGGUCUUGUGAGACUUAUUCAGUAUCAUGAGAAUAGCACAGGGAAGCCCCACCCCCACAAUUCAAUUACCUUCCCCCAGGUCUCUUCUAGCACACAUGGGAAUUAUGGAAGCUAUAAUUCAAGAUGGAGUUUGGUGGGGACACAGCCAAACCAUAUCAGGCAUCACACAGAGCAACCCCUGGGAGGCAUUGAUAUCCCCAGGCAAGGCCCACGGCAGGCCUUGAGAGCAUGGAACAGUGGUGCUUGCAUCAGUGAAUCUUACUAGUUGAAAUAAAGAAAGCCAUCUUUCCACCCCUCACUUCAUGUAAGUCUGACUCCAGGUCCCAUCUCAUUCCUUGGCACAGGUGGUCUUAUU
RNAcentral lists this long non-coding RNA (405 nucleotides) under Homo sapiens (human). RNAcentral describes it as "non-protein coding lnc-CCT5-22:1". Lineage: Eukaryota; Metazoa; Chordata; Mammalia; Primates; Hominidae. The record is from RNAcentral.